AUAUCAAUAAGCGGAGGAAAAGAAACUAACAAGGAUUCCCUUAGUAACUGCGAGUGAAGCGGGAAAAGCUCAAAUUUGAAAUCGGGCAGUUUUCAACUGUCUGAAUUGUAAUCUAAAGAAGUGUUAUCCGUGCUGGACCAUGUACAAGUCCCUUGGAACAGGGUAUCAAAGAGGGUGACAAUCCCGUACUUGACACGACAACCAGUGCUCUGUGAUACGUCUUCUACGAGUCGAGUUGUUUGGGAAUGCAGCUCAAAAUGGGUGGUGAAUUCCAUCUAAAGCUAAAUAUUGGCGAGAGACCGAUAGCGCACAAGUA
This 316-nucleotide ribosomal RNA is filed under the name uncultured Trichosporon. Its description in RNAcentral is "partial large subunit ribosomal RNA". It matches the Rfam family "Eukaryotic large subunit ribosomal RNA", at positions 40 to 350 of the family's 3401-position model. The record is from RNAcentral. Lineage: Eukaryota; Fungi; Basidiomycota; Tremellomycetes.